Molecule: long non-coding RNA, 1064 nt
Organism: Centruroides sculpturatus (bark scorpion)
Lineage: Eukaryota; Metazoa; Arthropoda; Arachnida; Scorpiones; Buthidae
Exons: 3
Source: RefSeq, a predicted model, not a curated record
UUGAAUCAGGACCACGAUAAGGGCAGCGGAGAGGUGAGGGAUAGAACCAGACACAUCCGGGACAGAACACACCAGAAAAAUCCCUAGAGUUACUCGCCCAGGUUCGAUCCCUGGUCCCCAAAUCGGUAGUCUGAAGCCUUAACUGCCUGGCACUUUUAUUUACCUAUCAACCAAUGAUCCUAAAUGAAACUGUUCCUUAAGUUAUUCAUCAAUAUAAUAGGAACUAAUACGAAACAUGAGAAGCAAAUACAUAAGUUAUCAGAUAUAAGUGUAGCCUAUGUAUUUAACUGAAUCACUCGUGGUCUCACUUUUCAGAAUAAUUAAAAAAUACCAUACUAACUUUAAACGUUUUGGUUUAUAACAAAGUAUUCAAUUAAAUAAUAAAGCUUGCACAAUAUCAUCUUUAUUACAAUCUAUCAACGCUUUACAUCCUGUUAAUAUAGUAGUAUAAGAUUAUCAUAUCAAAUACGCAAUAAAAAAUAUUUUGACUCGCCUGUUUAAAUUUCAGUUUCAGUUUUGGAUCAUUUAUCUUCGUGAUCAAUGAACGUUUUUUAAUAAUAGAUUCGUUUCUAAUAUAUUUCCAGAAUUGACCGCUGAUGCAUUCAUAUUUUCAUUUGAGCCAGUUGAAAACAGUAUCGAGAAUUAUACUUUUAUUUCAGUGGAGGACUAAAGAAAGAAGGGAAGAAAGAGUAAAAAUCAAACAAAUGAUGAAAGACUGAUGGAGAGUGUUAGGAAGAGAGAUUGAACUGAUUUGAAGCAAUUAAAGAAUCUUUUGAGUGAUUUCAAGAAACUAUUUUAGGUUUAAAUUUGAUGUGCUGCAUUUAUUAAAAUGAAUGUGAAAAUGGAGCUGAAAAUAUAUUUUGAAGAACGAUGAGUCUAAUUGUUCCAAAGAAUUUUCAGUUAUUUUCCAAUCGAUAAUAUAUUACAUUUAGAAGGAUUUUAUGGAAAUAUAUCAUGCUAACAGAAAGUUCGGAUUCGGGAAACUCAUUCGCUUUUCUUGAGCAUUUCCUCUUAUGUCUUGUAGAAAGAGAACAAUGUAUAACAGGAAAAAAUCAAUAAAUUGA